This is a long non-coding RNA of Lemur catta (Ring-tailed lemur), 629 nucleotides long. RefSeq lists it as uncharacterized. The record is from RefSeq and is a predicted model, not a curated record. The transcript is spliced from 2 exons. NCBI's taxonomy places the organism in Eukaryota, Metazoa, Chordata, Mammalia, Primates, Lemuridae.
UACAUGGGGCAAAUCUGAAGGACUAAGCAGUUUUUUGCUAUCUUACUUUUCUUCAAACUUGUCUUUGUUCUAGAAAGUGCUUAUUACCAAAGAUCAGUGCUGAAUGAUUUGAGCUUGAGCAGGCGCCACCUUUUCCAAAUGACGCAUCUCAGGAGAGAAGAAAGGGAAUCCAUGUUUUCGAAGUUUUUGCUUUUAUGAAGCAUUUCAACAACCUCUUGAGAUUCCCUUCUUUUAGUUUUUAGUUUUCUGUCCUCUGUAUAAGUGACUGUGGAAAUUACAACCACACGCCCCGAUAGGCCUCAGGGAAGGCUAGAACGAGUAUAGCAGUAACCAUCUAGUGCAGCCAGCCAGUCCGAGGUCCUGAGGGUGUCCAUGUUCACAAGAACGGCAGAAGCCCCUGCUGGAGCCAUUGAGCAGCCGGGCUUGGGUGGUGCCUGCUCAGCCUUCCCCACAUGGAGGAGUUGAAACAGCCAUCCUUGCAGCCCCGACUGAGACUGAAGCCCGUGAGUGGUGUCCCUCAGAGUUGUACGGGCAUAGCGACCUCUGUCCCUUUCCACUGAGUGCCCUUGGGCAAAUCACCACUCCUUAAUUUCCUCACAUGAAUAAAAAAUGAAGCAUUUGAAUUAUGA